GCGUUGUCCGGAAUUAUUGGGCGUAAAGAGCUCGUAGGCGGCUUGUCACGUCGGGAGUGAAAACUCGGGGCUUAACCCCGAGCUUGCUUUCGAUACGGGCAGGCUGGAGUUCGGCAGGGGAGACUGGAAUUCCUGGUGUAGCGGUGAAAUGCGCAGAUAUCAGGAGGAACACCGGUGGCGAAGGCGGGUCUCUGGGCCGAUACUGACGCUGAGGAGCGAAAGCGUG
This 226-nucleotide ribosomal RNA is filed under the name uncultured bacterium. RNAcentral's name for it is "partial 16S ribosomal RNA". It matches the Rfam family "Bacterial small subunit ribosomal RNA", at positions 538 to 763 of the family's 1533-position model. The record is from RNAcentral.